Sarcophilus harrisii (Tasmanian devil) is the source of this 3568-nucleotide long non-coding RNA. RefSeq annotates it as small integral membrane protein 14. Lineage: Eukaryota; Metazoa; Chordata; Mammalia; Dasyuromorphia; Dasyuridae. The transcript has 6 exons. The record is from RefSeq and is a predicted model, not a curated record.
AACCAUCAUGGGAAAAGUCACUCUGUGGCUUGGAUAACUAUUCUAAACUCGUUACCCCUUUGUAAUGGCGGUAGUAAAAUCUUUUGAGAUCCUGAUGGUUUCUUUCAGCAGGAACCAGUGAGGUCUGGGUAAAUUUCUUCUAUGAUCUCGAUUCUAAGAUCUUGAACUAUAAUGUCUAGGCUCUUUUAUCAGAAAACAAGUCCAAUGAAUCUUAAAUUAUCUUUCUUCAAUUUAUUUUCCAGGUAUAAACAGUUUUAUUGCAAUCAUCCUUGGUAAUCAUGGCAGAAGGUGGAUUUGAUCCCUGUGAAUGCGUUUGUUCUCAUGAACAUGCAAUGAGACGACUGAUCAAUCUGUUGAGGCAGUCCCAGUCCUACUGCACAGACACAGAAUGCCUUCAGGAAUUACCAGGACCUAAUUCUUCUAUUGACCCUGGCCUCAGUGUUACCAUGAUAAUAAUGUUCUGGGUGGCCAUUGCAAUGAUCUUGUUCCUAAUGAGACCUUUUAAUCUGAGAGGAUCCAUCAUAUCUGGAAAACCAACCAGUCCACAUAAUGGACAAGACCCACCAGCUCCUCCUGUGGACUAGACUUUCUAUGAUAGAAAAUGAAACAGCUAACACCUUGCACGACCAAAUGAAAGAAAGCGACCAGAGUACUCUUAACCCAAUUAGUACUAUUUUUCCCUUUGCAUUUACAGCAUAGGAUGGUAUUGUUUUCAUGAGUUACUAGAAAUUUUACUGUGAUCUGAUUUUUUGCUUCCCAUGUUGCCAUCAUUCCUAUUUAGAGUUUAUGCUUUUUUUUUCCCCUUAAAGGAGUCACAUGGGAUUCUGGGGUUUCUAGACCUUAAACAUUCCACUUAUUCUCUUUGUAACGGUUAUGAUUUUUGUGUGUGUGUGAUAAUUUCUGGCCUAAUUGAAGGAGAAUUGCAAUCUCUGCAUUUAAACUGAUGAAAUGGUUUUGAUAGUUUUGUAAGAUUGAAUUUUUUUUGCAUAAAGUAUACUUUUGAAGUUAUUUGAACUCAGCUGGGAAAAUUAGAACCACAUUGUAUUUAUACUCAAUCUGAGAGUGACCCUCUCUGUGGAUGGUGGUCUUCUCCCUAUCCUUCAGACUUUUUAACCUGGAAUUUUUACCAUCAGUAGCAGAAGCCCAUUAGAACUGACUUGUAUGCUUGGAAAAAGAAAGAAGAAAUUUUAUGGUUGUUUACUAAGCUUUUAUUACCUUCCAUGAAAUUAUUUUACAUGAAAAAGUUCAAUAAAUGUAAUUGAUAAAUUACAUAUUUAACUGUCCCAUUAUAUAAAAUAUUUGUAAGCCACUGAGCACUAGUCUUAAAAGGUUUAUAAAAAACAAAAAAUGAACCAUUCCUAGGUAUGCUAGGAGUAACCUAUAUUUUAAUUUAAAACUAUAAUUUAUUGUUUAUGAUGAGAACCUAUUAAAAUUGAAAAUACUUUUUUGACUUCUUGGUUCCAGGUUUUUAGAACUAAAACUUGGAUUACUGCUUUUCCUUUCUAUGAGCAUUUUCAAAUAUGGUUUUACUUGCUAAUUCUCUUUCCUCUUUGAAAAUUAUUUUGACUUUGUUGCCAUUCUAACCUUUUAACAAACCUCUAUGAAUUCUUUGUUGAUUCCAAGGUGAUAUGGCAGAUGGAGAAGAAUGAGAGAUGCUUGUUUUCUCCCCUGAUUGUGAGUCCUAUUUUAGCUAAUGGGAGGAAUGCUUUGUGGAUAUUAAUUUAGGAGCAUUUUUGAAAUGUACAGAAAAAUAAACAGUUUUAUGUUUUUCUUGGUCAGUUUGGAAAAUGAGUGAGAAUAAUAUAAAGAAUAUGUGUACAUGGCUGCCUCGGUUAUUGAAUUUUUCUCAGUAAGUGAGAACAACUUAUGGGAACCUGGAAUGUACACUUCUAUCCAAUAUAAGACUUUUUUCAUCAUAAAUGCAGUAUCAGCAUAGCCUCUCGUUGUAUAGACUUGCACUUGUUGUAUAAGGUGAAUAAACUUCUCUAUAUCAUUGUACUGUGUAAUAUAGUCUCUGAUAUAGUCCUGUGACACAUAAGGGAGUAUUUUUUUUUUUUUUUAAAGAUUGAAUUCUAGGCCAUCUAUACUCUGUAAAGUCAUAAUUUUAAAUAUACAAUCUGAUAUUCCUAACUUGAAUUCUUUUUUGUACAUCUUAGUUUUCUGACCAACUUAGGGAAAUACAACCAGCUCUUAAUUACUUCUGCUAAUAGAGGGGUGUCCUAUUCCAGGAACUCUUAAUUCCCCAAAACAAUGGUUUCCCUCUGCUGUGAUCCACUGGACAAUCAGACUCUGCUUUCCCAACUUUUAGAGAGAGAAUCAGGUGGGGCAGUGGCAGUUGAGAUGAACGGUGGGGACCUGGUGCCCCUCAUCUGCUCCCCCCUCAGAGCGCCGGGAGGCCUGCCGCUGUCAGAUACCAUUAUCCAGUGUCAGCCUGGGCCCUGGAAAGGAGGGAUCCCGUCUUAUUCUAAGACCUUCCGGCCUGCCUCCAGUUGCUUUUCCCCCCCUUUUCUUUGUCUCAGGUUGCUUAUCUAAAGAAUAACCACAGCAGUUCUUAUCUUCAGAGUACUGACACUAAUUGUGUUGCUUCUAAGUCAGGGCAAGAGAUACAGAUUAUUUAUUCUGAAAACAACGCAACAGACGUAACCCUUAAUGCUUCUGCAUGAUUGAGGCCUUUUUGUUGAACAAACUAGCAAGUCAUUUGCCUUAUAAGCAUUAGCUCUCAAGACCAUCACUACAGUCCUUUUAUUUUUUGAAUAUUCUGGGGGGAAAAAGAUUAGAGCCACAUCUUUUAAAAUCACCAGUGGCACUUAAACACUGCAUAUAGUGUGUUGUUGAGAGGUCAUUUUGUUUGUCACCGCAUAAUUAGUUUUAUUUACUCAAAACGAUGCUUUUGGCUUUACAUAUGGGAAAAAACUAAGUUGGAAAUGUUUUGUAGUCAAAAGUUUUAUGACGUUCCAGGCCAUGAUCCCAUGUUCAGCAAGUCACAUUUUUAAACCUGCAAAAAUUCUCUGAAAAAACCGUCAGAGACAGUCUAUCACAAGGUUGUUUUUAGUGUCUUUUGUGAUUUGUGAAUUGAAAGUGUACCAUCGUGUUUAUAUGGAAUUUAUAUAGCUCACAUUUUAGAAGGAACCUUGGAAGAGAUUAAAUAUUGAAAGUCUUUCACUAAUCAGAUUUGUUUUAAAAACAUUGCCAGCUGAAUUCUCUUAAGGCUGGAAUUCCAGCAACCUGAAAAAGUAAUGAAGAGAGAGUUUACAGUUAAUGGAUUAAAUCUUUGUUAUUGCAGUAGUAGGUUUAGUCUCUUAAUAUAUUAUAUUCUUAAAUGAAGAAUUAUGUGUGUUUGUUACUAUGUUUGGAGAUCACUUUGUUUAAAAAACAAAAAAACUAAAGGAAAAGUUGUCAUGUGAUGUACUAAAUGUUAAUCGCUGAUUUAAAAUGUCUAAAUUAUGCCAAACAAAUCAUGUCUGUGCCAUCCAGGGUUUCCUGUUAAUCUUUUAUUGAGUACUUGGAUUGGGGUAAAGGGCUUGUACUAUGCACUUUUUAUUAAUGAAUAAAUAGACAACAUUAGUAA